This 502-nucleotide small RNA is filed under the name Pongo abelii (Sumatran orangutan). Its description in RNAcentral is "retained intron". Lineage: Eukaryota; Metazoa; Chordata; Mammalia; Primates; Hominidae. The record is from RNAcentral.
GCCAGGAAAUGAUUAAGAACUCUAUUUAGAGCCCAGAACAGAGUUGUUGUUUAUCCUGAAUAAUAACAGUGAAAAUUUGAUAUCAUUUUACCAUGGAAAUUCCUAGGCGCUAAUUGUGGACUUUGUAUAUUCUUUCAGGAUGUUCAGCAUGCUGAUAUUGAUUAUAUGGAUGAGAGAAGGGACUUCACUUACGAUCCAGUGGAUUUUAAAGGCUUCCCUGAAUUUGUCAACGAGUUACACAAUAAUGGACAGAAGCUUGUCAUCAUUGUGGAUCCAGCCAUCUCCAACAACUCUUCCUCAAGUAAACCCUAUGGCCCAUAUGACAGGGGUUCAGAUAUGAAGAUAUGGGUGAAUAGUUCGGGUGGAGUGACUCCACUCAUUGGGGAGGUCUGGCCUGGACAAACUGUGUUUCCUGAUUAUACCAAUCCCAACUGUGCUGUUUGGUGGACAAAGGAAUUUGAGCUUUUUCACAAUCAAGUGGAGUUUGAUGGAAUCUGGAUUG